RNAcentral lists this ribosomal RNA (253 nucleotides) under uncultured bacterium. RNAcentral's name for it is "partial 16S ribosomal RNA". It matches the Rfam family "Bacterial small subunit ribosomal RNA", at positions 524 to 776 of the family's 1533-position model. The record is from RNAcentral.
UACAGAGGUCCCAAGCGUUGUUCGGAUUCACUGGGCGUAAAGGGUGCGUAGGCGGUCGGGUAAGUCUGAUGUGAAAUCUCACAGCUUAACUGUGAAACUGCAUUGGAUACUAUCCGGCUCGAGGAAUGGAGGAGAGACUGGAAUACUUGGUGUAGCAGUGAAAUGCGUAGAGAUCCGGAGGAACACCAAAGGCGAAGGCAGUGUCCUGGGGAGUACCUGACGCUCAGGUGCGAAAGCCAGGGGAGCGAACGGG